This 440-nucleotide ribosomal RNA is filed under the name uncultured bacterium. RNAcentral describes it as "bacterial SSU rRNA". It matches the Rfam family "Bacterial small subunit ribosomal RNA", at positions 338 to 774 of the family's 1533-position model. The record is from RNAcentral.
CCUACGGGAGGCUGCAGUAAGGGAUAUUGGUCAAUGGGCGGAAGCCUGAACCAGCCAUGCCGCGUGCAGGAAGACAGCCUUCCGGGUUGAAAACUGCUUUCAUAUGCGAAUAAACUGCGGUACGCGUACUGCAGGUGCAAGUAGCAUAAGAAGAAGGAUCGGCUAACUCCGUGCCAGCAGCCGCGGUAAUACGGAGGAUCCGAGCGUUAUCCAGAUUCAUUGGGUUUAAAGGGUGCGUAGGCGGCGCGUAAAGUCAUAGGUGAAAGGCAUUGGCUCAACCAAUGCAGGGCCAAAGAAACUCACGCGCUAGGAUUCACCAGAAGUAGGCGGAAUGAGACAAGUAGCGGUGAAAUGCAUAGAUAUGUUUCAGAACACCAAUAGCGGAAGCAGCUUACUAGAGUUGGAUUGACGCUGAGGCACGAAAGCGUGGGGAUCAAACA